GUAAUAUAUCGGAACGUGCCCAGUCGUGGGGGAUAACGUAGCGAAAGUUACGCUAAUACCGCAUACGAUCUAUGGAUGAAAGCGGGGGACCGUAAGGCCUCGCGCGAUUGGAGCGGCCGAUAUCAGAUUAGGUAGUUGGUGGGGUAAAGGCUCACCAAGCCAACGAUCUGUAGCUGGUCUGAGAGGACGACCAGCCACACUGGAACUGAGACACGGUCCAGACUCCUACGGGAGGCAGCAGUGGGGAAUUUUGGACAAUGGACGCAAGUCUGAUCCAGCCAUUCCGCGUGCAGGAUGAAGGCCCUCGGGUUGUAAACUGCUUUUGUACGGAACGAAAAGGUCUCUAUUAAUACUGGGGGCUCAUGACGGUACCGUAAGAAUAAGCACCGGCUAACUACGUGCCAGCAGCCGCGGUAAUACGUAGGGUGCAAGCGUUAAUCGGAAUUACUGGGCGUAAAGCGUGCGCAGGCGGUUAUGUAAGACAGAGGUGAAAUCCCCGGGCUCAACCUGGGAACUGCCUUUGUGACUGCAUAGCUAGAGUACGGUAGAGGGGGAUGGAAUUCCGCGUGUAGCAGUGAAAUGCGUAGAUAUGCGGAGGAACACCGAUGGCGAAGGCAAUCCCCUGGACCUGUACUGACGCUCAUGCA
Molecule: ribosomal RNA, 647 nt
Filed under: uncultured bacterium
Lineage: Bacteria
Description: bacterial SSU rRNA
Rfam family: Bacterial small subunit ribosomal RNA
Source: RNAcentral